RNAcentral lists this ribosomal RNA (400 nucleotides) under uncultured bacterium. RNAcentral's name for it is "partial 16S ribosomal RNA". It matches the Rfam family "Bacterial small subunit ribosomal RNA", at positions 338 to 755 of the family's 1533-position model. The record is from RNAcentral.
CCUACGGGCGGCAGCAGUGGGGAAUAUUGCACAAUGGGGGAAACCCUGAUGCAGCGACGCCGCGUGAGUGAAGAAGGAAUGCGGGAGGUAAAGCUCUAUCAGCAGGGAAGAAAAUGACGGUACCUGAGUAAGAAGCCCCGGCGAACGACGUGCCAGCAGCCGCGGUAAUACGGAGGGGGCAAGCGUUAUCCGGAGUUACUGGGUGUAAAGGGAGCGUAGACGGCAGUGCAAGUCUGGAGUGAAAGGCGGGGGCUCAACCCCCGGACUGCUCUGGAAACUGUACGGCUGGAGUGCAGGUGAGGUCAGUGGCAUUCCUCGUGUAGCGGUGACAUGCGUAGAUAUUAGGAGGAACACCAGUGGCGACGGCGGCUUACUGGACUGUACCUGACGUUGCGGCUCG